Molecule: ribosomal RNA, 922 nt
Filed under: uncultured bacterium
Lineage: Bacteria
Description: bacterial SSU rRNA
Rfam family: Bacterial small subunit ribosomal RNA
Source: RNAcentral
GGUGGUUCGAUACGUCGGAUGUGAAAAUCAGGGGCUCAACCCCUGACCUGCAUCCGAUACGGUCGAGCUAGAGUUUGGUAGGGGAGACUGGAAUUCCUGGUGUAGCGGUGGAAUGCGCAGAUAUCAGGAGGAACACCGAUGGCGAAGGCAGGUCUCUGGGCCAAUACUGACACUGAGGAGCGAAAGCGUGGGGAGCGAACAGGAUUAGAUACCCUGGUAGUCCACGCCGUAAACGGUGGGCGCUAGUUGUGCGAACCUUCCACGGUUUGUGCGACGCAGCUAACGCAUUAAGCGCCCCGCCUGGGGAGUACGAUCGCAAGAUUAAAACUCAAAGGAAUUGACGGGGCCCCGCACAAGCAGCGGAGCAUGCGGCUUAAUUCGACGCAACGCGAAGAACCUUACCAAGGCUUGACAUAUACAGGAAUAUGGCAGAGAUGUCAUAGCCGCAAGGUCUGUAUACAGGUGGUGCAUGGUUGUCGUCAGCUCGUGUCGUGAGAUGUUGGGUUAAGUCCCGCAACGAGCGCAACCCUCGUUCUGUGUUGCCAGCAUUAAGUUGGGGACUCACAGGAGACUGCCGGGGUUAACUCGGAGGAAGGUGGGGAUGACGUCAAAUCAUCAUGCCCCUUAUGUCUUGGGCUGCACGCAUGCUACAAUGGCUGGUACAAACGGCUGCGAUACCGCAAGGUGGAGCGAAUCCGAUAAAGCCAGUCUCAGUUCGGAUUGGGGUCUGCAACUCGACCCCAUGAAGUCGGAGUUGCUAGUAAUCGUAGAUCAGCAACGCUACGGUGAAUACGUUCCCGGGGCUUGUACACACCGCCCGUCACAUCACGAAAGUCGGUAACACCCAAAGUCAGUGGCCCAACCGUAAGGAGGGAGCUGCCAAAGGUGGGAUCGGUGAUUGGGAUGAAGUCGUAACAAGGUA